GAGUUUGAUCGUGGCUCAGAUUGAACGCUGGCGGAAUGCUUUACACAUGCAAGUCGAGCGGCAGCGCGGGGCAACCUGGCGGCGAGCGGCGAACGGGUGAGUAAUGCAUCGGAACAUGUCCAUGUCGUGGGGGAUAGCCCGGCGAAAGCCGGAUUAAUACCGCAUACGCCCGAGAGGGGAAAGUGGGGGACCGCAAGGCCUCACGCGAUUGGGUUGGCCGAUGUCCGAUUAGCUAGUUGGCGGGGUAAGAGCCCACCAAGGCGAUGAUCGGUAGCUGGUCUGAGAGGAUGAUCAGCCACACUGGGACUGAGACACGGCCCAGACUCCUACGGGAGGCAGCAGUGGGGAAUUUUGGACAAUGGGGGAAACCCUGAUCCAGCCAUUCCGCGUGAGUGAAGAAGGCCUUCGGUUGUAA
Molecule: ribosomal RNA, 415 nt
Filed under: uncultured beta proteobacterium
Lineage: Bacteria; Pseudomonadati; Pseudomonadota; Betaproteobacteria
Description: bacterial SSU rRNA
Rfam family: Bacterial small subunit ribosomal RNA
Source: RNAcentral